UUUUUGUUUUUUUGUUUGGGUGUUUGUGUGGGUAAGAGGGAUCGGUAUUGAUGGGUGAGUCUGAUGGGAUUAGGGUUUUUGGGUGUCUGUCUCCAGAUUCUAAAGCUCCUGAAAAGGAAAGGAAGCUGGGGUUUUAAAAGGAUGGAGAGUUGGGUUUCUGGCAUGUUCUAGGAAGUGAAUAGGGCUCUGGUGAGAGGACAAGACAGGGGGUGGUAUGAUGGCUAGGGUAAUGGUAUG
This 237-nucleotide long non-coding RNA is filed under the name Durio zibethinus. Its description in RNAcentral is "long non-coding RNA (DZIB_LNC001660)". The record is from RNAcentral. Lineage: Eukaryota; Viridiplantae; Streptophyta; Magnoliopsida; Malvales; Malvaceae.